CGUGCCUACUAAACGCACUAGAAGGGAGGAAGCGAGGACAGUCGCCUGAGGGGUCGAAAUCUCGCUCUGAUUAACCCCUGAGUGGCUUCCAAUUGCAAACCGAAUAGAAUCUCGCUUUCUUCCCUUGGGUCGCAGCUUGGCUGAUGUGAGUGCAUUGAAGAGCUUUGAACUACUGGACAUGGAACAGAUGAGAAGGAGAGAUCUUUCCAUCAUCUCCCUCCUAGCCUGUCAUCCCAAGGGCCUCCAACAAAUCACCGUGUGUUCUGGAAAUGCAAAACCACUGGAAUAAUCGCCAUAUCAAGAUGAAAUGAGAAAGACCAGAUGCUCACUGGAGGGGAGUGAUAUGCUGACCAAAGACAUCCCCAAACAUGAAGCUGUCCUGCUGGGAUUGUCCUGCCAGUGGUCAUUUUCCUUCCUGCCAUGUCAAAUACUCCCAACCCCAAAGCAAAGAGCCCCUCUGCACAAAGGUUGAGAUUGCGUCCCAGCUGUGGCCAUAACAGGGACAUCGAUCCUCAUCUGUUCCCCACCACUGAAUUCUCCACUGCAGGUUAGAAACAAGCAAUGCAGCCUCCGCUACCAGCGACACCGGUGGGACCUGGCUUUUAGAAGUAAGAUUGAAUGGCUAUUAGAAGAGGUGACGGCUAUAACCUAACACUGUACAGAGAGACCAAGGUAAUGAAGUAACACAGGUUUGUAGAAUGUGGAGACCUGGAAGGCUCUUUAGACAUCAUUCUGGCCAACCCCUUUGCUUUACAGGUGAAGAAAACCAGGACCAAAGAGGUUAAUUGACUCAUCCAAGGUCAUAGUGUGAAUUAUUGUCCUUUGGUUGUUCAGGUCACCCUUAAACAAACAUUUUUUUCCCAAGGUUUCUAAGAGUUCAGAGUUCGUAGUCCAUCAGCUUUAAUAGUUUAAAUGCUUCCCUUUAGAACUCAUUCAUCGGCGGUGAAUCAUGGGAACCUAUCAUGAACAUGCCCCACAUGUUAUAGGUGAUUAAAAAAGGGGAAAGAGGUUUCUGCACCUAAUAUCUUACAAUUGAAUUGGAGACUUAAGAAAUAUAAAUAGCAAGAGGAAAAAUGAAAUUCUUAUGUAUGUAAAAAAAAAAAGAAAUACUUGAUGUAUGCAUGUAAAUGCUGUGCAUAAAGAGAAUUCUAUGGAGUAGGUGUCCUAUGCUUUAUCUUAAAGAAACUAAAGACCAUGUGUUUGUAUUAAUAUUUAGAGAGCCAUUAAUUUACU
Lagenorhynchus albirostris (white-beaked dolphin) is the source of this 1233-nucleotide long non-coding RNA. RefSeq lists it as uncharacterized. The record is from RefSeq and is a predicted model, not a curated record. NCBI's taxonomy places the organism in Eukaryota, Metazoa, Chordata, Mammalia, Artiodactyla, Delphinidae. The transcript is spliced from 4 exons.